GAAAACGCUCCUUGCGGCUACGGAUUCCUCAGGCCGCAAGCGACGCUUCUGAGAAUGUACAGAAAGCUCCCUUGGCGAUUUCUGAUUCCCCGAGUCGCCAACGGUGUUUCUGGGGCCGUGCGGAGAUCCCUCUUUGGCUGUUGCUGCCUCCCGGGACUGGAAAAAAAAGUGCAUCUGAAACGUGAUUCCUCCCUCGCGCGCUGCAGACAGGGACUCUGAGCGCGUGCAAAGGGCGUAGGGGUGGGGAGAGCCCCAUUUGCAACGGCUGCCUCACCAGCUGGAAAUAGUACAUCUGAGCAUGUUCAGAGAGCCCCCAUUUGCAAGUCCUAUCUCCCCAGCUGGAAAUGGUACAUCUGGGCAUAUACAGAGAGCCCCUUUAGCGACUGUUGUCUUCUUGAGCUGGAAACAGCACUUCCCUUCCCAGCGCACCCCUCUAGGACGGUUUCCUCGUGGGCAUCAAGCAGCACACCUGACCAAUACAACAGGAAGCCACCAUUGCAGUUACUGGAUCUUGGGGGCCACAGGGUGCAUCUGAGCAUGUACAGAGCACCCCUCAGGAUUGCUGCCUCUCAGGCCAGGGCAGUAUUUCUUUCUUUCAGAAAUCUAACAUGUGGGAGAAAACUCUUCCGUCUGGAGGCACCCCGCUCCAAGACAUACACCCUGCCUCUUCCUCCUCCUCCUCCAAUAUCCGUUCUGGAGAUGUCAUCGCCACUGAGAUGCUCUGAGCCUUCAUAAUCAACUGCCUCUCAGAGCCAUUAUUUGUAAUACUGAUGUACCUCAUAUAUAGGACUACACUACAGGAUCAUAUAAAGUAUAUACAUACAGAAACCAGAGAUGCAGAUUGAUUUUGUCCAGUAUUGCAACUAUCCAGACAUUUCUGUACCUGACCUGUGUGUCCAGCUCAUCCAGAUAUUUCCAAUGCUGCAGAAUUGAUAUUCUUGCCAUCAAUAACGAUUUGGAAACAAGAUUUUUAGAUUU
Molecule: long non-coding RNA, 978 nt
Organism: Rhineura floridana
Lineage: Eukaryota; Metazoa; Chordata; Lepidosauria; Squamata; Rhineuridae
Exons: 4
Source: RefSeq, a predicted model, not a curated record